RNAcentral lists this ribosomal RNA (548 nucleotides) under uncultured bacterium. RNAcentral describes it as "partial 16S ribosomal RNA". It matches the Rfam family "Bacterial small subunit ribosomal RNA", at positions 355 to 914 of the family's 1533-position model. The record is from RNAcentral.
UGGGGAAUAUUGCACAAUGGGCGAAAGCCUGAUGCAGCAACGCCGCGUGCGGGAUGACGGCCUUCGGGUUGUAAACCGCUUUCAGCAGGGACGAAGGUUUUCUGACGGUACCUGCAGAAGAAGCACCGGCUAACUACGUGCCAGCAGCCGCGGUAAUACGUAGGGUGCGAGCGUUGUCCGGAAUUACUGGGCGUAAAGAGCUCGUAGGUGGUUUGUCGCGUUGUUCGUGAAAACUCACAACUCAAUUGUGGGCGUGCGGGCGAUACGGGCAGACUAGAGUACUGCAGGGGAGACUGGAAUUCCUGGUGUAGCGGUGGAAUGCGCAGAUAUCAGGAGGAACACCGGUGGCGAAGGCGGGUCUCUGGGCAGUAACUGACGCUGAGGAGCGAAAGCGUGGGGAGCGAACAGGAUUAGAUACCCUGGUAGUCCACGCCGUAAACGGUGGGUACUAGGUGUGGGUUCCUUCCUUGGGAUCCGUGCCGUAGCUAACGCAUUAAGUACCCCGCCUGGGGAGUACGGCCGCAAGGCUAAAACUCAAAUGAAUUGAC